Molecule: long non-coding RNA, 674 nt
Organism: Stomoxys calcitrans (stable fly)
Lineage: Eukaryota; Metazoa; Arthropoda; Insecta; Diptera; Muscidae
Exons: 2
Source: RefSeq, a predicted model, not a curated record
ACUCCGUGUCGGAUUUUUUUGUUUAUUUUUUGUACUUAAUUCUUCCCAUAUAUAUUUGUUUGAACCGCAGGUUGUUGUGCACCGAAGCACCAACCCUUGCCGAUGAAGGACUCCAUCGGAUUAAAGGCCUUUUUGCGGCUAAUAACGCGUCGCGGCUGACACUAUGCGAUAUUAUUGGGCGACGUUACAACGUUACGUUUUGUCCGACAGAGUAACAAUUAUUAAUUUUACAAUUACAAUUUUAACCAAGCAUUAUCAAGGUAUUGGAUUCCGGGCUUCCAGGGUUCCACUCUGUUCUAAAAUUGACUUCACGGCUUGAAAACUUGAAAUGGAAUGAUGAAAAAAUCCAAGUGGCCAAAUGCAGAAAAAACUGCCAAUUGGAGCAGCGCUGCUUGGUGCUGCGUGACAAAAUGAGAUGUAAAUGGUAACAGCAUUUGUCUCGUUUUCGCAACGAACGCAAUCCAAAAGCAAUGACAAUGCUGCCCACGAAGUAAACAACAAAAGAGAAUGCCAAAUCCAUUCACUGGAAUUGAUAUCCCAGAAUAUUCUUCAUUUUCCAUUUCAUGUAUUUGUGAAAAAUUAACAGAUGGCGCUGUUUGCAUUUACCAUUAAAAAUUAUUCUCUGGAUUUCGCAACAUAAAGUUGAAGUAAAAGCUGUCAUGAGCUAAAAAGCA